CCUACGGUGUGCUGCAGUGGGGAAUAUUGGACAAUGGGCGAAAGCCUGAUCCAGCCAUGCCGCGUGUGUGAAGAAGGCCUUCGGGUUGUAAAGCACUUUCAGUGGGGAAGAAAGCCUUGGGGCUAAUACCCUCGAGGAAGGACAUCACCCACAGAAGAAGCACCGGCUAACUCCGUGCCAGCAGCCGCGGUAAUACGGAGGGUGCGAGCGUUAAUCGGAAUUACUGGGCGUAAAGCGCGCGUAGGCGGUCUGAUAAGCCGGUUGUGAAAGCCCCGGGCUCAACCUGGGAACGGCAUCCGGAACUGUCAGGCUAGAGUGCAGAAGAGGAAGGUAGAAUUCCCGGUGUAGCGGUGAAAUGCGUAGAGAUCGGGAGGAAUACCAGUGGCGAAGGCGGCCUUCUGGACUGACACUGACGCUGAGGUGCGAAAGCGUGGGUAGCAAACAGGAUUAGAUACCCCUGUAGUC
This 465-nucleotide ribosomal RNA is filed under the name Vreelandella stevensii. RNAcentral describes it as "partial 16S ribosomal RNA". It matches the Rfam family "Bacterial small subunit ribosomal RNA", at positions 338 to 795 of the family's 1533-position model. The record is from RNAcentral. Lineage: Bacteria; Pseudomonadati; Pseudomonadota; Gammaproteobacteria; Oceanospirillales; Halomonadaceae.